RNAcentral lists this transfer RNA (75 nucleotides) under Mitsuokella multacida. Its description in RNAcentral is "tRNA-Gln". It matches the Rfam family "tRNA". From Rfam's summary of the family: Transfer RNA (tRNA) molecules are approximately 80 nucleotides in length. Their secondary structure includes four short double-helical elements and three loops (D, anti-codon, and T loops). Further hydrogen bonds mediate the characteristic L-shaped molecular structure. tRNAs have two regions of fundamental functional importance: the anti-codon, which is responsible for specific mRNA codon recognition, and the 3' end, to which the tRNAs corresponding amino acid is attached (by aminoacyl-tRNA synthetases). tRNAs cope with the degeneracy of the genetic code in two manners: having more than one tRNA (with a specific anti-codon) for a particular amino acid; and 'wobble' base-pairing, i.e. permitting non-standard base-pairing at the 3rd anti-codon position. The record is from RNAcentral. RNAcentral also lists the same sequence under 1 other name. Lineage: Bacteria; Bacillati; Bacillota; Negativicutes; Selenomonadales; Selenomonadaceae.
AGGGAUAUAGUUUAAUGGUUAAAACGAUUGACUUUGAAUCAAUAGAUUUCAGUUCGAUUCUGAAUAUCUCCGCCA